UGGGGAAUAUUGCACAAUGGGGGAAACCCUGAUGCAGCAACGCCGCGUGAAGGAAGACGGUCUUCGGAUUGUAAACUUUUGUUCUUGGUGAAGAAGAAUGACGGUAGCCAAGGAGGAAGCCACGGCUAACUACGUGCCAGCAGCCGCGGUAAUACGUAGGUGGCAAGCGUUGUCCGGAAUUACUGGGUGUAAAGGGAGCGCAGGCGGGAAAUCAAGUUGGAUGUGAAAUGUCGGGGCUUAACCCCGGAACUGCAUCCAAAACUGAUAUUCUUGAGUGAAGUAGAGGUAGGCGGAAUUCCGAGUGUAGCGGUGAAAUGCGUAGAUAUUCGGAGGAACACCAGUGGCGAAGGCGGCCUACUGGGCUUUAACUGACGCUGAGGCUCGAAAGUGUGGGGAGCAA
Molecule: ribosomal RNA, 400 nt
Filed under: uncultured bacterium
Lineage: Bacteria
Description: bacterial SSU rRNA
Rfam family: Bacterial small subunit ribosomal RNA
Source: RNAcentral